ACAAGCUGCAACUGAUGGCUGAAGUAAUCUUCUCAUGUUCAAAUGUUUCUGGUUAAGACAUAAAAUUAUGAACUACUUAUGCUUCAUUCUUAUCAUAUCAUGUCCUUGAUUGAUCCAUUUAUAAACCCAUAUUCUCAUGAAAAUUAUUGGUUAUGAUUUUUUCUUCCUUUGAGAAAGAAUAUGAUUGAAUGUCAAUUUAAUUCGUUAAAAGGCUUUUACACCACAUGAAGAAUCAGUUUUUGAGUUUCUUUCCAAAG
Molecule: unclassified non-coding RNA, 257 nt
Filed under: Hevea brasiliensis (rubber tree)
Lineage: Eukaryota; Viridiplantae; Streptophyta; Magnoliopsida; Malpighiales; Euphorbiaceae
Source: RNAcentral